AACGAACGCUGGCGGCAGGCCUAACACAUGCAAGUCGAACGGUUGUAGCAAUACAGCAGUGGCGCACGGGUGAGUAACGCGUGGGAACAUACCUUAGAGUUCGGAAUAACCUCGGGAAACUGAGGCUAAUACCGGAUAUUCUCUCCGGAGGAAAGAUUUACCGCUCUAAGAUUGGCCCGCGUCAGAUUAGCUAGUUGAUGAGGUAAUGGCUCACCUAGGCUCCGAUCUGUAGCUGGUCUGAGAGGACGACCAGCCACACUGGAACUGAGACACGGUCCAGACUCCUACGGGAGGCAGCAGUGGGGAAUAUUGGACAAUGGGCGAAAGCCUGAUCCAGCCAUGCCGCGUGAAUGAUAAAGGCCUUAGGGUUGUAAAGUUCUUUUGCCAGGGAAGAUAAUGACGGUACCUGGAGAAUAAGCACCGGCUAACUUCGUGCCAGCAGCCGCGGUAA
This 451-nucleotide ribosomal RNA is filed under the name uncultured bacterium. RNAcentral describes it as "partial 16S ribosomal RNA". It matches the Rfam family "Bacterial small subunit ribosomal RNA", at positions 29 to 523 of the family's 1533-position model. The record is from RNAcentral.